UUUUAACAACUUAUUUCUUCCCAAGGCAUUUACUCUUUAAGCCACUUUAGUUCUUUGCUUUUCUCAACUCCUAAAACCCUUUAAGCUAAGUUGUUUCUUUUCUCCCUUCUUUCCACCUUUCUAUUGUGUGUGUCAGCUUUUUUCAAUUGGAGCAAUUGUGAUCUGUCUUGCUUCUCUCACUCUCUUCUUCACCCAUUGUUGUAUUUAGCAAAACAAGGACCCAGUAGCCAGCUGGACAAACCUUCCUCCUAAAAGGGACAGGAAUGAUUAUAAUGAUUUAUUUUGUAUUCUUCCCAACCGGAUUUGAAACCAGUUCACUUGCCUGUGUGUUCUCAAAUAUGUCAUAUUUUUACCAAAUAUAUUGGUACUCGUCUUUUCCUUCUAUCCUGGAAGUGAGUCCAGAAUUGCCUACAUGUGUGAAUAGUAUAAGAUCAAGGUAAUGUUAUUUCAAUCUCCGUAAGAAAAGUAAUUUUAAGAAAUUUCAGAAAACCAUUUAAACCAUAAGUAAAUAUGACAAGUGAGAAAAAUAUCUCCCUUGGGGACAAUUAUGUGCUAAUCUACAAAGUACCUUCUAACCUAUUUUAUAGGUUCUGUAGCUCUAGAUGUCCUCCCUCCCCAAUAGCCCAUUUUCUGCUCAUGUUGGCAUUCAAUGAAAUACAUUCACUUGAUGGGAUUCCAGAAUUAUUCAUUUUAAUAAUACCAAAAUAACUUAAAACGCUAGAAUAAUGAGAGACUGUCUACUCCCCAAAACAGGAGAGUUUAUUUAUACCCUUUUUAAAUCUUAAAUUUAAAAGAUGUUUGCAUAACAGAUCAAACACUGAACACCAGUUAGCAUCAGAAACAAGAAUUUAAGUCAUCAUGUUAACAAUAAAAACUCCCAUAGUAUAUUAAGAUUUAAUAAUUUGAAAUGUCUACAGUUUUUAUAGGAGGAAAACUUCCAAAUACCUAGACAUAAUAAAUCUUAGGCGUUAUAUAAUGCCUGAUUAUCAGUUAUAAUUAUCUCAUCAGUAUUCACUAUCUCAGUUUAUAAUGUAUAAUGCUUAAAAUUCAUAAAACUAUACUAAAAACAUUAACAAAUUGCUCUCUAGUAAUUCAAAUAUUUGUUACUAUCCAAAUUUAUGAUUAUAUAUAAAAAAUUAACUCUUCAUGAAACAGUGUUCUGACUCUGAAGUAAACUUUUUUUGUUUUUAGGAUAAAAUGCAUGUAGUAAACUGUCACAAUACAUUAUUAACAUGUAAUUAACAGUAAUUAAUUCAAACAAAUCUUAUAGUCACAUUAGUAUUUUCCAAUAAUCCUGCCUUCCUGCCACUACUAAUUACCUUGUAGACAUCAACAAGAUGUUUAGAAUACAUACCUCUUGAGCAAGAUCUUGUGCGUUGGAGAUAAGAGGAAAUGGAGGACUGGCCUUGUUCAUGUGUACUGUGAUGGCAUUGUGUAUCUUAAAUGCAUUCUGGAAAUCCUUAUUUUGAACAAGUUGUAAAAGCAGUGAAAUAUCCUCCUGGCUCUGAGAAUCUACCAAAGUAUGUUGGAUAUGUUUAAGUGAAGAAAACAAGUCUUCUAUUUCUAGUAGAAGAAGAAAAGGGAAUUUAAAAAAUCCAUUCAGAUGUAACUAAAUCAGUCCUGUCAAAUACACUCUUCCAUAAUAAAAGAUGAAGACACAGAGACAACAAAGAGAAGACAGAGGACAGAGAGAAGAAAUUCCCUUCCCCAAUCCCAUACAGACAGACAACAGACACAAGAAGGAACCACAUGGACAGAGAAAGAGAGAAAUGAAGAACCACAAGGCUAGUGAGAAAGACUGAUAUAUGUGCUAGGUUGGGAGUGGACAAAAAAACGAAUGGAAAAACAAGAUGUGGUAUAUUUGUACAGUGGAAUAUUAAUUCAUCCAUAAAAAAGAAAUGAAGUACUGAUUCAUGCUACAAUAUGGAUGAACCCUGAAAACAUAAUGCUACCGCAUACAUUUCUGAAUGUGCCGUAAGACAACGAAGCAAAUCUUCGCAGGCAGAAAUAAGUUUUAAAACCUACUACUGCUUAAUAAGUGGAAUGAAGUUUCAACGUAUUGUGUCAAAGACUGAAUGAUGUAGCAGUUACUUUUCUAUAGAAUUAUGUGUAUUUAAUAAACAAAAUUUACAUUACUA
Molecule: long non-coding RNA, 2138 nt
Organism: Homo sapiens (human)
Lineage: Eukaryota; Metazoa; Chordata; Mammalia; Primates; Hominidae
Source: Ensembl